CGUCUUGGGCUGGUGAUGGGGACUGCUGUUCGCUGCCGAAGACAGCAUGCCUGCCUCUACUGGGAUGUGAGUACUACUCUCCAGCUCAGGCACAACCCAUAAGUAGACAUUCAGGCCUUGCCUGAACACCUCCAGUGACAGGGAGCUUACCGCCAGGGCCUCCAGGGGCAGGCCACAAAAAGGAAAAGAGGAGGAGGUCUGACCUAGAUCUGACAGCGGAAGGUCCCCAAAGGGACGCAGAACAGAAACGAAGGCUGGAGGCUCAACUACACCGUCAUCAUGAGCAAGGUGAAAGGGAAAACCACGCAGCUUUGCCAGAAUGGAGAUCCCUGCAGCCAGGUGAAGAAGAAAGACACAUGCUUUUGGUGGAGUGCAAACCCCUGCAGCUUUGGUAAAAGAGGCCCAUGCGGCCUUGGGGUGCUCCAUUUGGCUGCGUGGCCUGGGAAGCAGGAGAGACUUUGACUGGAAAAAUGGGUACAAAGAACUCUUGCCAGUGGACCAUGAAAGGGUACCACAGUACUUUGGAUUAACUCGAGAGCCUGCACAGUGACACAGCAGGUGGUGCCAGCGGCCUGAAACACAGACGUGUGCUCUUUUCCUCAUUUACGGCACCCGGAGUUGGAACAGUGGGAGAAGGGAGAGCUGUGUGGGUGUAGGUGUAUACCCUAAAAGACUUUGAUAUUUU
Long non-coding RNA from Artibeus jamaicensis (Jamaican fruit-eating bat), 685 nucleotides. RefSeq lists it as uncharacterized. The transcript has 3 exons. The record is from RefSeq and is a predicted model, not a curated record. NCBI's taxonomy places the organism in Eukaryota, Metazoa, Chordata, Mammalia, Chiroptera, Phyllostomidae.